Molecule: ribosomal RNA, 372 nt
Filed under: uncultured bacterium
Lineage: Bacteria
Description: bacterial SSU rRNA
Rfam family: Bacterial small subunit ribosomal RNA
Source: RNAcentral
UACGGGGGGUGCAAGCGUUGUCCGGAUUUAUUGGGUUUAAAGGGUGCGUAGGCGGGCUACUAAGUCGGCGUUAAAAGACGGCAGCUUAACUGUCGGAUUGGCACCGAUACUGGUAGUCUUGAGUGAGGUUGAGGCAGGCGGAAUUUAUGGUGUAGCGGUGAAAUGCAUAGAUACCAUAAAGAACACCGAUAGCGAAGGCAGCUUGCCAAGCCUUUACUGACGCUGAGGCACGAAAGCGUGGGGAUCAAACAGGAUUAGAUACCCUGGUAGUCCACGCCCUAAACGAUGAUUACUCGGUGUUGGCGAUAGAUAGUCAGCGCCUUAGCGAAAGCGAUAAGUAAUCCACCUGGGGAGUACGCCCGCAAGGGUGAA